This 459-nucleotide ribosomal RNA is filed under the name uncultured bacterium. RNAcentral describes it as "partial 16S ribosomal RNA". It matches the Rfam family "Bacterial small subunit ribosomal RNA", at positions 338 to 795 of the family's 1533-position model. The record is from RNAcentral.
CCUACGGGAGGCAGCAGUGAGGAAUAUUGGUCAAUGGUCGGGAGACUGAACCAGCCAAGCCGCGUGAGGGAUGAAGGUACAGAGUAUCGUAAACCUCUUUUGUCAGGGAACAAAGGCGGGGACGUGUCCCCGGAUGAGUGUACCUGAAGAAAAAGCAUCGGCUAACUCCGUACCAGCAGCCGCGGUAAUACGGAGGAUGCGAGCGUUAUCCGGAUUUAUUGGGUUUAAAGGGUGCGCAGGCGGUCUGUUAAGUCAGCGGUAAAAGCCCGGGGCUCAACCCCGGCCCGCCGUUGAGACUGGCAGUCUCGAGUUGGAGAGAGGUAUGCGGAAUGCGCGGUGUAGCGGUGAAAUGCAUAGAUAUCGCGCAGAACUCCGAUUGCGAAGGCAGCAUGCCGGCUCCACACUGACGCUGAGGCACGAGAGCGUGGGUAUCGAACAGGAUUAGAUACCCCUGUAGUC